AAUGAACGCUGGCGGCAUGCCUUACACAUGCAAGUCGAACGGCAGCAUGACCUAGCUUGCUAGGUUGAUGGCGAGUGGCGCACGGGUGAGUAAUGCAUCGGAACGUGCCUUUUAGUGGGGGAUAACGUAGCGAAAGUUACGCUAAUACCGCAUAUUCUCUGAGGAGGAAAGCAGGGGGCCUUCGGGCCUUGCGCUAGAAGAGCGGCCGAUGUCGGAUUAGCUAGUUGGUGAGGUAAAGGCUCACCAAGGCAACGAUCCGUAGCGGGUCUGAGAGGAUGAUCCGCCACACUGGGACUGAGACACGGCCCAGACUCCUACGGGAGGCAGCAGUGGGGAAUUUUGGACAAUGGGCGCAAGCCUGAUCCAGCCAUGCCGCGUGAGUGAAGAAGGCCUUCGGGUUGUAAAGCUCUUUCGGCUGGGAAGAAAUCGCACUCUCUAAUACAGGGUGUGGAUGACGGUACCAGCAUAAGAAGCACCGGCUAACUACGUG
This 490-nucleotide ribosomal RNA is filed under the name uncultured bacterium. RNAcentral describes it as "partial 16S ribosomal RNA". It matches the Rfam family "Bacterial small subunit ribosomal RNA", at positions 29 to 507 of the family's 1533-position model. The record is from RNAcentral.